UACGUAGGGGGCAAGCGUUGUCCGGAAUCAUUGGGCGUAAAGCGCGCGUAGGCGGCCCCGUAAGUCCGCUGUGAAAGUCAAAGGCUCAACCUUUGAAAGCCGGUGGAUACUGUGGGGCUAGAGUCCGGAAGAGGCGAGUGGAAUUCCUGGUGUAGCGGUGGAAUGCGUAGAUAUCUGGAGGAACACCGGUGGCGAAGGCGGCAUCCUGGACCGGCAUUGACGCUGAGGAGCGAAAGCCAGGGGAGCAAACGGG
This 253-nucleotide ribosomal RNA is filed under the name uncultured bacterium. Its description in RNAcentral is "partial 16S ribosomal RNA". It matches the Rfam family "Bacterial small subunit ribosomal RNA", at positions 524 to 776 of the family's 1533-position model. The record is from RNAcentral.